CAGCUGUCUUCCAUCACCAACCCCACACCCGGCUGGCUUCUCAGAGGAGAGGGAAAGCUUAAUUUUCCAUUAAUGAAGGCAUAAAGCAGCUCCUGGACCCCCUGCUAAACUUAUACACAUGAAGGAGUGGUAGCAAAGGGAGAGCAGCAGCCAAAAGUGUCCACAGCCUUAUUCCUGCUUGUGAAAAGAUGUUUACUCAUUCUGCAAACAACAAAAGGGGGAAAAAAGGGGGAGACGAAAGAAAACCAAACCAGAACUCAACAGAGUAGGAGCAAAACCAGACUGGCGUGAAGGCGGGUGCAGAGACAGAGCUCCAGCGUGAUAGGGGUUUAUAAAUGUACGACAACUGCAUGAGCUGCGAGUCUCGUACAUGGCUCUAAAGUGGAACCAGCUGCCAGCGCCUGGCUCCCUCGCAGCAGAAGCUCUGGGACACGUCAAGAAAAGCUCCCCAGUGCUGCAAACAAUUACAGCGGGUUUUUAUUUGUUCCAUGUUAUCAAAGGUCUUAGGCUGGAGAAAAGAGAAAUGUGAAGGGAAAUAGGAACAAAAUAGCAGACAAGGUGGACAAGGGCUUUGCUUGGGUUUAGUUUGGUCUUGACUGGGUUAAACGCAAGAAGAGGAUCCCAUAUCCCACUCCCAUUUCUCUAUAGUAGAGAAAUUUUAAGUCCCUCCUCAAUCUGCGGAGCAUUUAGGCUGUAUUUUAACAGAGCCCUUAAAUAUGUGCCUAAUUUUAAGCACCUGAUUUAUUCUAUCGACUGCAAGCCUAGACUGCCAGUGGGUGAUGCACAAUGUAGAUAACACUGAUUUAAUUUUAUUCAAUAACUCGCAGAUAAUUCAGGGCCCAUAAUAUAAAGAUAUCGUUACCCUCGUUUAUUGCUUCUACCACAUGUAACGUGUUUGGUGUCCUGGACACAACCAAGUGGUUAAAGUGCUGCUGAGAUAGACCCUUCCAAUUAGGAGAACGCUGGGAAAACAUUGACAAACAACUGGCUUGAAUGGAGCCCAAGCAUUCCCUUUGACAAUGUGCACUGCAUUUAGAAGAUGCAUUUUGGCUGGAGAAGGAACAUUUUGGCCAGGUAUUAAGCAUAUUUGCUCAAAGAGAAAUGCCUGUGGAAACCUGAGAAGGUGGUUUUGCACUGAAGAGUUCACACAGUGGGCUUGACCUCGUACUGAUUCCCUCCUAGCUUCAUAUAAACAUCUUAAUUAUCUCAUCACAGGCUGGAAACCAUAUAACGAAGGAGAUAUUUGUAUCUGCCCCACCACAGAACAUCACUUGUGAUAAUGAAUUUCAUGUUUAUCAGAUGAAGACUUCAGGAGUCUAAGUUGAAGUUUGGGAAAUAGCACAAAAUGUCCAACAUCUCGGAGGGCAAACAAGUUCUUGGAAACCACAGUCAGGAACAAACCAAAGUAGUAGAAAUUCCAGUUGAAAAUGUUAGACUGGUUCCCUGCCUUCUGUUGGCAGUCAGAUUUUGGGAAAGAACAAUUAGUGUAAUAGGUUCUGGGAGCUAUUGAGCCAGAAACUGAGAAAAAUGGAAACCAAGAGAAACAGCUGGAAUAUCUUCUCAUUCUUAUUUAGAUUGCGGUUACAGCAGCUGAAUGGCUAUUUUUUCUGAUCCACUUGUGUAAUACUGAAAACUGGGGAGGGGAGGAAUUGUCCCAAGUCGACCUCAUGGAACAAAGGGGAAAAACUGUGGGACAAAAAG
Long non-coding RNA from Neopsephotus bourkii (Bourke's parrot), 1701 nucleotides. RefSeq lists it as uncharacterized. The record is from RefSeq and is a predicted model, not a curated record. The transcript has 2 exons. NCBI's taxonomy places the organism in Eukaryota, Metazoa, Chordata, Aves, Psittaciformes, Psittacidae.